Thalassophryne amazonica is the source of this 860-nucleotide long non-coding RNA. RefSeq lists it as uncharacterized. The record is from RefSeq and is a predicted model, not a curated record. NCBI's taxonomy places the organism in Eukaryota, Metazoa, Chordata, Actinopteri, Batrachoidiformes, Batrachoididae. The transcript is spliced from 2 exons.
AUAUAUAUAUAUGUGUGUAUGUAUGUCGGAAAUGGAUUUUGAACUGGGAAUCUUUAUCUUUGUGCUACGUGUUGAUGAUCUAACUUAUUCAACAGAUCAAAACCAGACUAAUUUAAACUGGUUUGGAAAAUUACUGUUUUUUUAUUUUAUUGACUAGAACCUAAAAAAAAAAAGAACUAAACUGUGACAGUAUGCAGUAUGGCUUCCCCCCCCCCACCCACCACCACCACCAAAAAAAGAUCAAAUUAACUAAAUCUCAAAAUUUAUUCCUACUUUUUUUGUAAUCUUUGUGCCUGUAAUUCAGAUCCAUGCUUCCAGAUUAUUUUUUCUAUGGGUUCACAUGAGUUUAUGGUGUGAUAUAUUUUUUGAAGUUUGUAACUGCUGAUCUGUAAAUUACAAACGCUACAGCAGUAUCUAUUUUUUUAACAUUUAUAUUAGUGUGAACACGCCAGCAGCGCAUGCUAAUUCCAAUUUUUGGCUCCUAACUUUUCAUGACGAUUCCACCAACUCGGUUAUUUUAUCCACACGUUAACCUCAAAUAUCAGCACUGAAUGGGAACGAGCACGUCUCAAGUGUGCGUGCUGCAAAGUAACGCAGCUACAAUUGUGCACCUACUGACUGCAUAUAAACAUGACUGUUGACAACAGACGUCGCUGCUCAGUGUUAUGAAAGUCACGAUCUGUGUACGGAUUUAUUGUUUUGGUCAUUUUUGAAAAACUAAGUGUGCUGUCACACCUUUUUGUGUUGACAGUUCCAACAUCACUGCUGAUUUAUGAGUUGAAUCCUGUUUUUGUUGCUCAUAAUAAUGAGAGUUACGGUAAACAAAAACACUGAUGAAAAUUAUUUAUAAACACCACCAC